This 138-nucleotide small nuclear RNA is filed under the name Tupaia belangeri (northern tree shrew). Its description in RNAcentral is "U2 spliceosomal RNA (ENSTBEG00000020357.1)". It matches the Rfam family "U2 spliceosomal RNA", at positions 47 to 185 of the family's 192-position model. Rfam says of the family: U2 is a small nuclear RNA (snRNA) component of the spliceosome (involved in pre-mRNA splicing). Lineage: Eukaryota; Metazoa; Chordata; Mammalia; Scandentia; Tupaiidae. The record is from RNAcentral.
NAUCAGGUUAAUAUCCGAUACGUCCUCUAUCCGAGGACAAUAUAUUAAAUGGAUUUUUGAACAUAGGAGAUGAAAUAGGAGCUUGCUCCACCCACUCCACACAUCAACCUGGUAUUGCAGUACUUCCAGGAAUAGUGC